This 491-nucleotide ribosomal RNA is filed under the name uncultured bacterium. RNAcentral describes it as "bacterial SSU rRNA". It matches the Rfam family "Bacterial small subunit ribosomal RNA", at positions 16 to 507 of the family's 1533-position model. The record is from RNAcentral.
AUCCUGGCUCAGGAUGAACGCUAGCGGGAGGCCUAACACAUGCAAGCCGAGCGGUAGAGAUUCUUCGGAAUCUUGAGAGCGGCGUACGGGUGCGGAACACGUGUGCAACCUACCUUUAUCUGGAGGAUAGCCUUUCGAAAGAAAGAUUAAUACUCCAUAAUAUAUUGAUUGGCAUCAAUUGAUAUUGAAAGCUCCGGCGGAUAGAGAUGGGCACGCGCAAGAUUAGUUAGUUGGUGAGGUAACGGCUCACCAAGACGAUGAUCUUUAGGGGCCGUGAGAGGGUGAUCCCCCACACUGGUACUGAGACACGGACCAGACUCCUACGGGAGGCAGCAGUGAGGAAUAUUGGUCAAUGGGUGCAAGCCUGAACCAGCCAUCCCGCGUGAAGGACGACUGCCCUAUGGGUUGUAAACUUCUUUUGUAUAGGGAUAAACCUACCCUCGUGAGGGUAGCUGAAGGUACUAUACGAAUAAGCACCGGCUAACUCCGUG